AGAAGACAGUUGGCAGUUAUUUCGCAACCUUCAUCUGUUCCUGGAAGAUACCCGUAGCCUGCCUUCCUUCUUGACAGGCUGAUUUAGGGGUGCUCCCCAAGAAGAUCAGGACUGCUGAAAGAAUGAAGAAGAACUUACUUGGCCUAGGAUGUGGCUAGAGAACGGAGCGCACUUUCACUUACCUGGCAAGAAGAAUUCCAUUCUCCCAUCCCAGGAAGGAGAGUGCCCUGCGUGCCACGAAAGAGCCCAGGACCCACAGGACAAAUACGUCACUGGCAGACCUGCCUUCGCCAGCGCCAGCCCAUCUCUGAAACCUCCAGCAUUUGUGCCCCGGUCCGGCCCCUCCCAGGCCUGACUCUUUCCGAACGGUCACUGCGCAGGAUCAAGCUACAAUGAAGAGGAGGGAGGCAGUCUGCGCGCACCGCCAUUUUCUAGGAACUGGGAAGCCCCCCCACCCCUUAGGAAGAUCCAUCCCUGUGGAACCUUGCCCAGGCUUACCAGCCUUUGCUGAGGUUGAUCUAUUGUCCCUCCUUGUCCCCAUCAAAAUAUCCAGCACUCCACCUUCAGGGAGUAGACUUGACCCUCAAAUAGCAAGUUCAGCCUUCCCAGGUCUAGGUUCCCUGGGAGGUCAAGAUUCGUCUGGUUCCUUAGUACAGAGGGCUAGCUGUGAGUUGGAAUCCCCCUAUGAGCUUUAGAAUCAGUCAAGAGGAAUUGGGCCCCUUCCCUUCAUCCCUCUUCUUUUCCCUUUUUGUCCCAGAGCUCAGCUCUGACUCAAAAGUUUUUCCAUUUACCAUCAACAUGGAAACUUGGCUCCUCACGUAGGUAUAUUAUCCCCCUUUUGUACAUGGUCUUGUUGAUCCAAACUCCCUUUCUGUGAAAGAGGCCUGUGGGGCUCAAGAAGCCUGGUCAGCCAGCCAGGCUAGUCCCACAUACCUCAGAACCAGUUUAAUAAAGGCUCUAUGUCAUUCUUU
This 971-nucleotide long non-coding RNA is filed under the name Homo sapiens (human). RNAcentral's name for it is "testis development related 1". Lineage: Eukaryota; Metazoa; Chordata; Mammalia; Primates; Hominidae. The record is from RNAcentral.